UCUCCUUCAAACAUCUAAUAGAGCUAGACUAGAGACACUUCAGCAAAAAAAAAUCCAUUACAAUAGCUGCAGCAAAACGAAUACAGAAACAUACAAGGGUUAGAAGGGUGUAAAUGCCCAUAGGUAGUGGAUAUGCAAUCUAGGAAUAGUAUUGUUGAAUGGUUGGGCAAGUAUUCCGAUCAAUGAAUAAGGAAACACGUGGACUUAAUUCCACAAAUUAUGUGUUUUUCUAUGUGACCAGGGAAUGCAUAACGACGACAAAAUGAAUGAAAUCUUCACUUUCUAUUUAUGUUGUCGAUAGAUAGUGAAAAUAACAUUGAAUUAUUAGAUGCCUUAGUGCUGGACUGAGCAAAGUCACUAACUGAGCCAAAUCUGAACUGAUUGGAAAAACUUCUGUUAAUAGAAAAUUUUCUAGAUCACAGACUUACCACAAAUACAACAUUUGUGAUGGAGCCAACUUCGCUCGUCACAAGACGUUGUGCAAAUACAACCUGGUCUACAAUCUCUGCAGUAGUCAGAUGUCUCUUCAAACCCAUCCUAAAAAUUGGAUUAUGCAUCAAGAAGAUGUACCUUGUAGAAAGUAACAAUAGCAAUAAUACAGAUACAAAUAAGAAAGAUAUAAAGCUUACAUGCCAGUGUAGGAGAACUGACAAUUCAUGGCACAGCCCACUUGACUUGAAACACAAACUGUCGUCCUACCUCUAUCAGAAGGUAUGACGACUGUUUCAAUUAACAGUUCAUCAUCCAACCUAAAUAAAAUCUGCAAGCUCCUGUGAGUUUCAAAACCAAUGAGAAGAUAAUGCAACUGCUAAAAGCAAUAUAUCGGACCAGAAUAAAGUGACUUCGAGACCAAAAAUACAACAAAUAAUGGUUUUGGCUACCUUCUUAGCUCCAUCAGAUGCAGUACGAACAUUUUCCAAAUAUAUUGCCUUAUAUUCUGCGUGUUCACUCAACAUUUUCCUAAAAUCCUUAUUCAAACCUGAAUAAGGUUAUCAAAGACAAAUUCAUAAGGCUCAGCAUGUCUCUCUUGUUGGAAGAGAGAUUCAAUUUUGCACAUAGAUAGGGACAUCAAAGGGAGAUAAAAUCAUUUAGCUCACUGAAAAGGCUAUAAAAUCAGACAAUAGAUAGCAUUUCAGAGACAAGGUGGUGUAAGAAUACCUUCUAGUUCAUCAACAUAAUGCGCCCAAAUAUCUUCCCCAUAAAGACGCUUAGCAUCAUAGCUUGGCCAGGUCUGAAUCCAUGAGAUUGAACCCAUUUCUGGCAUAGUGGAUUCCCACAAUUAUUACUUGGAAAACUUUAACAUAAAAUUAUACAUAAAUUCUCAUGUUUGGAAUAUUAGAAUUCAUUUUGAAUUUCUAGUCUAGCUAGCUUGUACCACAGUUUAAAAUUAAAUACUUUUUUGAGUUUAGCAUAGGAAGAAAAAGAGAGUAGAAAAACAGACUUCAAGCUCAGUGUAAUUCAUUCCCUUAAGAAGCACCUUUGAACCCUUGGUUAGAAUAGCAUUCAUGUCUCUACUUCCUACACAAAUAAACAGCCACAAAACAAAUAAAUAAACAAAAUGGGAGCUCCAAAAACAACAUAUGUUACUAGGAAACGAUUUAUCUGCUUACCCAUAUCAACAGGAAGUAGUGACGAUGAACAAGCGGCGGUAGAAACGGAACGAGGAGAUGGAGAUUGGGCGGUGGCGGUGAUGAAGAGAGUUCUUUUAGAGAGGAAAGAGAGAGAUGAGAUCGAUUAGGGUAAGUAAUUGAGAGCGAAGCGGAUGAGGAGGCCAUUGAAGGGUGAUUUACAAGAACCACUGACCGCACGCGCCCCAUCCACAUACAACCCAUCUCCAUUCUCCGAUUUCUCGUAGCCCGAAAGUAUAACAUGUUCAUUUGAUGAAAAUAUAUACAAGCUCUCUUACAUAAUACUUAUAUGAAAAUAACUUAUAUCCGAAAAUAUCUUAUUUCAAAAUACAUAUGAGUCGUAAGAAGUAAUAAAUAUUUUUUUAUUUAUUCUUUAUAUAUAAUCAAUAAUUAUUAUUUUAAUUUAAUAAUUUUUUAUAAAAUUAAUAUUAAAUUAAAAAUAAUAUAGUCAAUUUAUUUAAUAAUUUAUUAUAAUUUAGACACAUUUCAUAAUUUUCUUAAGAAAUAUGAAAUUUAUGACAAGUAUUAUUGACCAGAAAUUGUAUGAAAUAGUUAAACUAACAAGGUUCAAUUGGUUUUCUGGGUACAGUUAUUGGUUCGGUUUGAACCAUAAUCAAAUUGUACUGUGCAUGAACUAAAACCGAAUUGCAUAGUUGAUUCAAAAUUUUGAACUAGAACUGGGGUUCACCGACUGGUUCAAUCCAUGUCAAUACGUUAAAAAAUAAACCUGAAUUGGUAUCGUUGGUCCAAAAUUUUAAAUCAUAAUUGGAUGUUCAAAGACUAGUUCCAAUCCAUGUCAAUGUUAAAAAAUAAACCUGAAUCGGAAUGGAAUUGACGAUUCCAGUCCGGUUAAACAGAAAUUUAUAAUCAUCUACUCAUAAAUAAAAUUUUCAUGAUACACUUGACUUAAAAAGUCUAAAAAAGUAAAAUUAGCAACAAAAAAAAAAAAAAGUUAAAUACUAAUUCAAAUUUAUUCUGCAUGAAAGUUUAACAGUGUUUUUUCCUUCUAAAUUUUUUUCUUAGUCCAAAAUUACAUUAUUUAAAAUAUUUUUUAAAAUUUAUCUAACAAAUUAUUUAAUUAAUAACAUUUAGAUAAAAUAAAAUAAAAUAAAAUUUUGAUUUAUUUGAUUAUUUCAUGUUUAUUUGUAAAGCUAAUGAAUUCUAUUUUUUAUACGAAUAUAAGUACUCUACCAGUUGUUUAAAAUAAAAUUUACAAAUAUUUGUUCAAAUUCACAUUAAUUUUUUCCUUAAAAUGACGUAAUCCUAGAAAUGAAUGUCUAUUAUUUUUUUUCCUUGAAGAAAAAUAAUAUGUAUAUCAUUGGAAACCAUGACUGGAGCCGAGACUCCAGAUCAAUGGUUCAAGAGCGGUUUAAGUUCAAAAUUUUAAAAAUCGUAAAAGAUCUUUUAACUAUAAGAGUUCUGUGCAUUGGACUAGGAGAAUUCCAACCCAUCUCGUCUCAAAAAAUGGAUUUUUUUUCUUUUUUUUUAUAAACUUCAAAUUAUGUUUAUGAAAAUAACUUUGAUCCUUCCUUGUUAAUAUAAUAUGGAAAAAAUAAUAUGAAUUUUCAAAAUAUAAAAUGGACAACUAAUUAAACAUAUUUUUCAAUAUAAAAUUUUCCUUUAUUAUUCUAUUAAAUGUGUUAAGUACAUGUCUUUGAAUAGAUUGAUAUAAUAAGUUGAUAUAUUGGUCCGAUGUUCUAAAAUUAUAACAAAAUCCUUCAAUUAAGCUAUAGGUGCCCUAGUGGCUAUGGAAUUUUGAGGUAUCCAAAUGGACGAUGGCAAACGUUUGGAAGAUAAUUUCUCCAAAUUCAAAGUUACUUAUCUUCAACGACCAAAAUCCGAAGACAAGUUGCAUAGCAUCAAGGAUUCUCCUUUCUCCUUUGGUCUGCCUAGAUGACCAUUUUUCUUUCUCCUUCAAGCGUACAAUCUGUCCCCACAUUUGUUUCUGAAGAUUGUUUCUACAUCAAGAUGGUCCUUUCUCCUUACCAAGCAUAGACGAUGAAUCCAACUCUCAUGGCCUGUCUUCAUUUUCGACGAAAGAAAAAAUAAUUAAACAAAAGAACUGAUAUAUGUUUAACCAGAAAGGAAGAACUAAAAGAUGAAGAUUCUCAAACCACGAUUUAAUCAAGUGUAAAAAACCAUGGAGGCAAUGUUCAAGAAUUAAUCACCUAGGAUUAAACCUUUCAACCACAUUUACUAACCAUGGAGCGUUGACUAGAAACAUGAAUUAAUCUGGAAAAAGUGGGAUUCAAAUCACUUGAUUGUAUAAAAGGAGCACCAAAAUCUAAAACCAGUAUUCAAAAGUUAAAGAAAGCUAAACUGAUUAACUCUUUACAAAACAAUUUUUUUUUAAACAGAACCAAUCAAAUAUCAACAACUCAUUUCUCAUACAGAUGAAAUUCAUUCAACAUAAUAAAAAACUGAAAACAGAAUCAUAAAAUUAUGAAUAUUUUUUAGAGGCUCUGAUUGUGCAUUUGUCAAACAAAUGGGGUAAUAAAAAAAAAAAAAAAAAACUAUGGUAGCAAUCACAGAAGAUAGUAACAGAAACAGAAAUGGAAGUUUCUAAAGGAUGAUCAGUUUCACAGUAGCAAAGCACAUAUUAACAAAACCAAGAUUAAUACCAAUCCAACAUGGAAUUUGAAACAUGGAAAUAAAAUAAAAAGAAGCUGCCCCACCACAGUUUUUGUCCCUUCAAAAUGCUUAAUUUAUAUUUAACAUCGUCACAGCCGACAAUAACUCAAUAUUUAAGUAAAGCUGAAAUUUUCAAUUUUUUAUGAUAAUUUCAGAAAAAAAAAAAAUCAUCAGAUUUAAUUAAUUUAAUCUUUUUUUAAUCAAAUUCAGGAUUCAAUCAUUUACGGUAACUAUACAAAAUAGCACAUUUUCAAUCGAUAUGUAACUAGAGAGCUACAUUAUUUUAAAAACGAAUUACAUAGAUAAAUCAUCGUGAUCUUCUAUGACAUAACGUCUUAUGAUUUCAAUGAUUUUGUUGAAUGUCUAUUGUAGUUUGCUAAUUAAACGGUAGAUCUAUUGUUGUGAAUUAUAUAUUACUUUCGCGAACAAGAAGGCUCAUAAGAUUAAAAUAAUCCAACCAAAAAUUAAUAAGGAUAAACAAAGUUGCAUAAAUCUUAUAAACUUAGCAAUAAUUGCAAAAUGGGUAAAAAGUUUGGAAGAGGUUUGAAUAAUCUUUCAUGAAUUGUAAUAAAGAUUGAUAGCUUGAAAUGAUACAGAAGUUAAACAAGUGUGCUCGGUCUUGCCAUGAAUGAAAUACUGAAAAACUUUAUUCCAUUGACUUUAUUCCACACACGAUGCUAUUGUGUUGGUCGGGCGAAUUUUUUGUUUUUGUUCUUAGUUUUAAAGAUGAAAAAUCACGAUGCCUAUAUAAAAAUUAAAAUAAAAGAAUCCCAGUAACCUUAUUAAAACUAAAUUAUAUAUUGUGGCUCCUGUUUUUUUGCUGUGUUGAACCUACUCUUUUUCACUCUUUAUAUAUUGCAUUAUUUUAUUUUAUUUUGUUGUUGCAUUGCUUUUAAUUUUUUUUUUUCCCCGUAAAGAAUAGAAUGUUAUCUCACAUUAUGGAUUGAAUAAAACAAUACUUGUUUCUUCGCAUUUAUCCAUAUCAAUAGGAAUAUGUACAUGGAUUAAAUUAUGCAUGGAGAAAGAAAAUCUCAACGCAACUUAUGUAGCCGUUAAGCCUUUCUUCGUCAAAAGCCCUUUCUCUAUUAAAAUUUUAAAUUUUUUGAAUUUUUUUUAUUGCUCAGCUCAAUUUAUCCUCUCUUUCCUUCUGUGCCUUCCGCCCGGACUGACAAAGAAUGUUAUGAAUACGUACUUCAUAGUGAUUCACGGGCAAUUUAUCCAUAUAGAUAAAUAAACCAUUUAGCUUUAUUGCUUUAAAAUAGUGAUUUUCAUUUUAAUUUUAAUUUAUCCAAUAUUUUACUUUAUAAAAUUAUUUUAUUAAAUGUUUUAAUUUACAUAUUUGUGUGAAUGCAUGCGACAUGCAAUAAUUAACAUUCGUUAUUAAACUCACAUCUUUUGAUUAACCUUUUUAGGAAGUAGAAUUUUUCUUGACCCGGUAAAGCUCCGCUUCCUUCACUGCAGAGCUAGAAAAGAAUUCUCUAGAUUUAGUAUUAAUUCAUGAAAUAGAUAAACGUACAAAAUUUAUUUGUAUUUAUCUGUUAGUGAACUUCGCAGUUGUAAAAUUUAUAUACCUUAGGCUGUGUAUUAUUAUAGAUGUAAUAAUUUUAUGAGGCCAUAUGAUAAACGUAAUGUGUUACAAUUUGAGCUCGAUCUACGAAAUGUUUAAAAUGUUAAAUUGGGCCAAAGAAUAAUAUAUUUUUGAGAUAAUUGAAUUUUUGCCCAUGGUAUUAUGGGCUAGUCAUUUGAAAUUUAUUUUGAGAUGGUUGAAUUUUAGUAGUUCAGGUUUCCUACAGGCCUCGGGGCCUUAUGCUUACCUGAGCCUUAGUGCCAGUCCCGGCUAUGAAAACGGAUCGUGACAAGUAGCAAGAGUGAAAAUUGCAAAAUUAAUUAGUAAAUUUAUAUAUUCAAUAUCUUUUCAAGAUUUUAAAUAAUGUUUCCUUGGCAUUUUUUAAUUGUAAAUAUUAUUACGGUAUUAUAUAAAUAUUUUUUGUUAAGAGCUGAAAUAAUGUCCUAAAUUAAAUAAUAAUGCCAUUGCAAAAUUAAUAUAUACUAAAAUUUUAUCUUAAUCUAUUUUUGCCCACCACUAAAUAUUAAAAAUUAUUAAUAUUUUUGUUUAUUUCUAUAAUGAGAAGUGAGUGUUUAAUUAUAAGAGUAGUUACUAAUUUGGUAAGGAUUGUUAAAAAGAAAAUAUUACUUUUUGUUAUAUAAUUUAUAAUAUUAUUUUGAUCCAUUCAAUUUUUACUAAAUGAAAAAAGAGAAAAUUAUCUAUAUUUAUAAUGAAAAAUAAAGAAAAUUUUAAAAGUCAAAAAUGAAAAACGAAAAUUGUUGCAACUAUCAACAUAAAUGGCAUGAUAAUGAUAUAGAAAUUGGAUAAGAAUAUGUAUAUUGAAUAAUUAUUCUAUAGUUUAAAUAAAAUAAUUAAUAAUUUUUCUAUAGUUUAAAUAAAAUAAUUAAUAAUUUCAUAUAUUCCUGAAAUCUUACCCUUAAAAUAAAAAUUUAAAUAUGCAAUUAUUGUGGGACUAAAUAUAAUUCACAAAAAUUAAUCAUGUAAAACUAUUUUACUAUUAAGUACUUAUUGUAUAUGUACACUAAUAAGUUCUAAAAUUUAAAACAUUUUGAGUAUUUUAAAGAGUAAGUAAAAUAUCUUUUCUCAUUUUAUAUUUAUUCAUUAUAUUUUCAUAUAUUACUUUUAGUUUUAAUAAAUGAUAAUUUAAUUAAAUUACUAUUGAUUUUAUUGUAAUUUAAAAAAUCAAUUACUUUUUAAUCUUUAUAAAAAUUUUAAAUGAUUUAUAUUUUGAAAUAAAAAAACAGUUAAAUCAGUGAAAAUAAAUUAUAUAUCCAAUCAAAUUUCCUGCAAUAUAAAAACUCAUAAAUUUGGAAUCACUGCUGUUACCGGAAUACCAUCCAGCUUGAACAUUUAAAAAAAAAAAAAACCAAAAGAAAAGAAAACCCGUAUAUAUAUUUUAUUAUGUCAUUAAAUAGGUGAUAGGCUAUUGGAUGGCGUAAGCUAAACAAAGAUAACAGACAUGACCAGUGCAUCUCAAUCAAAGGCAUUAGAGACUAGAGAGUCUAUAUCAGCUCUGAAAGUGCAGAGUAUUUUUGUUGAAGGCAACUUUUUAUUCUAAUUGAAGUUUUUGGUUUGGACAAAUUAAAUUAUGAGAAAUGGGAAAGAUGCAGCUUUAAUUGAUCUCAACGCGCUUCCCUUGCUUUAAAAGUUUCUUGCUAGGAAAUUAAUUACUUUGCGUUCCUUAAUCUGUAGCUCUUUUUUUUUUUUUUUUUUUUUUUUUUUUUUUUUUUUUAUCAUUGGAAUAGUGUCCAGCCCUUAAAACUGAUCGGGGGACAUGUGUAAUUCUACUCUCUACCUGGAGUCCAUAUAAAUUGGGCAAAUUUUCAAUACACAUGUUAUGAUAUAUGAGCAUUGACGUUAAGCUCAAAUAUGGAUUAAUUAACUGCUUGUACGCUCCUAAGAAUCGAACAUAAAAUGACGAGAAAUUUAUCCAGCAUGGUUUCCCUUAGACUAACCCCAUGCUUCCCUUAGACUAACCCUUUGGGGAUAAUCUUACAAUUAACAUCCUAAAUCCAGCUAGUUUCUUGUUAGGACAUUAUUUAAUUUAUAAUAAAUAAUUUAUGGACAUUAUUUUUUGUUAGGACAUCCUCAAUGCUUUAAUUUAUAAAAUUACAUUUAUUAAACAGUUUAAUUUGCAAAAUAAAUUAGUUAAAUAUCUAUUAAAUAAUUGAUAAGUAAAAAUUAGUAUUUCAAAAGUUAUGCUAAACUACAUAUCGAAUUGAUAUUCUGCAGAUAAGAGCCAAAAAUUUUAAAAACUAUUGUUAUUAGUGUGAAAAUAUGUAUAAUAGUUAAAAUUGCAAAGUUUAUAGAUCUAUACAUUCAGACUUUCUCAAGAUUUUAAAUAAUAUUUACUUUGGCAAUUUUCAAUUCUAAAAAUUAUUACAGUUUAUUAUAAAUUUUUUGUUAGGAGUCGAUUGCCAAAUAUACAACAUGCAGGUUUCCUUUCCUUUUUUUAUUAUAUAUAUAUUUUUUAUUUUAUGGCUUUCAAAGAAGAAAUAAUGUCAAAAAAAAUGCUAAAUUGAAUCCGGCGAAAAACAAAUACAAAAACAAAAAAGAGAAUAAAAACCAGACACGGAUUGCUCAGAGUUGAAAUUCUGCCGCAUAUUUAGAGUUGCCUCUCAUUACCGGAUCACUUCCAAUGAUGCAUCAUAGUAAAACCAAUAAUUGAUCAAAGUUCCAAUGGGUGUCAUCAAAUGAAAGAAUAGAACUAUUUAACAAGGAAGAAAGAAGAGGAUACAUUUCUACUUUACAUGAUAGAAAAUAUGAAGAACCCAAAUUCUCGAUAACCGGUACACUAAAAUUUCAGUGGAGAAGAAUACAAUUUGGCUCUUCCGGUCUCUACUCUCUCUAUAGCACGGAACGUGCAGCCCUCCAACCAGCAGAAUAUGUAUAGUCUUCUCUCUAACAUCACAGCAGAAGUGGGCAAAUCAAUUGAUGUAGGAAGAAGACAUUAGUCCCUGCAAAACAAAAGCAAAAGGUUAAAAUGUCUCUGGCAUCGCAAACUUACAAGUGAUGAUGCAAAGGUUAUGAUGUCUUCUGAAAUUAUCUAGAAAUUAAAUGUUCAUAAUAUAAAUUCCAGCUUAUGUUAAAUUCAAAACUAAAAUUGGCGCGUUCACCAAAAUCAAUGAAAAUCUUCAUUUAUCCAAUAGCAAAGGUUCUUCAGGUCACUGGUGUUGGCAGCAGUUUUUAUCCAUUAGAAAACUAAAAACCUUGCGGGUCAUAAUCAAUAAACGGAAUCAGUAGGACCCUUCCCCAAUAGGCCAAUUCCAUAUCUAGGCUUUUAUUCCAAGAAAAAAAACUCCCAAAUCAAAUAUCUACCAUAAAAUGGUGUACGAGGCACACUAAAUCUCCUAAUGUCCUGGUCAACCAUGGAAGAGAAUGGCAAAUUUCAAUCAGAAAGAAGUCUGCGUCAUCUUAAUGAGCAGACUAGCUUGAAACAAAUAUUCAGAAGAUGAUCUUGAUUUGAGCAAUCCCCAUUCAGGAUUGAUGCAAAACCAAGCCUCACAAAGACAUUAGAAUUCUGCCCCAGUUCUUUAUUUCAAGUAUCAGAUACAUGACAUGACUAAUUUUGGGACAUCCAUUCAAUCAAAGUAAUGAAAGAGAUAUUUUGAUGAUGAAAUGAGUUUGCUUGAUUUUACAUGAUAGUAAGCAUCUAUACUACUAGUCAGCAAUGAGAAGUAAUACAUAACCAUGCAUGCUAAAAACUGCACCAUAGAUGCACAGAAGCAUAAGCUGAAAAUGUAAAGCAAAUUUUCCAAGAGAAUAAAUCCAAGUAACAAUGCAGAGGAGAUGUUGAAUAAUUGAAAGAGGAAAUUAAGAGGGUUAUCUCUGCCAAAGCAAUGGAAUUCACAACCCUUUACAGAAACUUCCAUUCAAAAUGCAUAUCGUUUCAUCUUCUUGUGUUUCCAAUUAACAUAUAUACAUAAAAUAACACAUAAAUGCAGAAUACGGAUAAUGUAAAAUAAGGGGAUUGUGACUCUACGACAUGAUUUUGAAAAUUUGCAGCAGCACAACAACAGCAGCCAAGCCUUAGCCACAAACUAGUUGGGAAUUUGCACAAAUACACAAAAUCUUUUGUUUCCUUAUGGCUCUAUGCUAGAUAUAGAUAAUACUAAACUGAAUUCAAAAUGUCCUUUAGUAUCCUAAAGGGUUAAAAUCAAUCUUAAAUGACAAGAAGAAAAUGCCAAUUCAUUUUGUUUGGAAUGCAAAAAUAUCAUGCAAUUCAUCAUCCAACCUAAAUAAAAUCUGCAAGCUCCUGUGAGUUUCAGAACCAAUGAGAAGAUAAUGCAACUGCUAAAAGCAAUAUAUCGAACCAGAAUAAAGUGACUUCGAGACCAAAAAUACAACAAUAAUGGUUUUAGCUACCUUCUUAGUUCCAUCAGAUGCAGUGCAAACACCUUCCAAAGAUAUUGCCUCAAAUUCUGCGUGUUCACUCAACAUUUUCCCAAAAUCCUUAUUCAAACCUGAAUAAGGUUAUCAAAGACAAAAUUCAUAAGGCUCAGCAUGUCUCUCUUGUUGGAAGAGAGAUUCAAUUUUGCACAUAGACAGGGACAUCAAAGGGAGAUAAAAUCAUUUAGCUCACUGAAAAGGCUAUAAAACCGGACAAUAGCAUUUCAGAGACAAGGUGCUGUAAGAAUACCUUCUAGCUCAUCAACAUAAUGCGCUCAAAUAUUUUCCCCAUAAAGACGCUUCCACAGCAUCAUAGCUUGACCAGGUCUGAAUCCAUGAGAUUGAACCCAUUUCUGGCAUAGUGGAUUCCCACAAUUAUUACUUGGAAAACUUGAACAUAAAUUCUCAUGUUUGGAAUAUUAGAAUUCAUUUUGAAUUUCUAGUCUAGCUAGCUUGUACCACAGUUUAAAAUUAUAUACUUUUUUGAGUUUAGCAUAGGAAGAAAGACUUUUCUCUGCCAUGUGCACGUCUUGUCUGUCAUGUGCAUGCCUUUGAAACAUUGAAUUUUUGUCUUCCACUCACAAGCCUUGGAUACCGUCCACUAUGUGCACGCCUUGCUCUUUGUCGCCAUGAAACCAUCACUAUCUUCCAUCUUUUCCAGAUCUUGUUUAUUCCAUCAACCCAACGAAACCAUAACUCUUUCCUCUUGCCUGAAUUGUUUCCGUUUCAGCCAUGGAAGAUAAUUUUGCUCACCUUUCUAUAGAUGAGGAGGAGGAGACUGGACUUUCCCUUCCUACUCCUACUCAUAAUCCUCCAGUUGAUCCGUAUAAUUUCUGUUUGGUUGGCAUGUUUCUCACUUAUAGCAGAGUCAACUUUGAGGCUAUGAAACACACGCUAGCAGAUCUCUGGCAUCCUUUAGGCGGAAUGGAUAUUCAGGAAGUGGGAGCCAAACGUUUUCUCUUCCGUUUCUACAAUGUGGUUGAUAUGGACAGGGCUAUCUCUGGUAGUCCUUGGUUCUUUAAUAAACAUCUUCUUGUUUGGCAACAGAUCCAAAGUGGUGAAAACCAGUUGGAGAUCCCUUUAUUGUUUGCUGACAUUUGGGUCCAAAUUAGAGAUGUUCCGAAUGGAAUUGUGGGUGAAGGUACAGCUAGAGCGUUGGGUGAUUCCCUUGCCGUAAACCUCUUCCGGGGACAAUAGAUCCAACAGUAUUCCCAUUAACAAUAACUGAAUAUUUUACGGAAGUCAUACACAUCUUCAUCCAAUUUACCCACAUAGCACAGAACCCCAUUUUCUCAAGCAUGGCACAAACAUACGCCCAACAAACUUUGUCAUAGGCUUUACUGAUGUCAAUUUUCAGUGCACAAUUUCCACAUCUACUUUUACUUGGCUUCUUAAGAUGAUGCAUCAUUUCAAAGGAGAUUAAAAUAUUAUCAGUGAUAAGCCGUCCAGGUAUAAAAGCAGACUGAUAGCAAGAGAUAAUAUUUGGUAACACAAAUUUUAAUCGGUUCGUUAGGAUUUUAGACACAAUCUUGUAGAGCACGUUACACAAAGAAAUAGGUCUAAAAUCAGUGACCAAUUCUGGUCUAUCUUUCUUAGGGAUCAAAACAAUUAAGGUAUCAUUUAGAGAUUCCGGGAAAAUACCUUGUUGCAGCCAAUGGUUACAGGCAGUUACCAAAUCCCCACCAAUUAAAGGCCAGAAUUUCUGAUAGAAAGCAGGGUUCAAACCAUCCGGGCCGGGUGCUUUAUGAAGACCCAUUUGAAAAACUGCUGCUUUUGCUUCGUCAAGUGAGAUGGGAGCUGUCAACAUGCAGUUAUCUUCAUCGCUUAUUGUACUGCGGACCAAUCUCAAAAUGGGCUGAAAAUGUGUCAUUAUGCGUAAAGAGAUGAGUGAAAUAGUCAACAAACAGCUGCUGCUUUUCACAUUCCUUUUCAAUCCACUGCCCCGCAGCGUUUUGUAGUUUAUUAAUGGAAUUCNNNNNNNNNNNNNNNNNNNNNNNNNNNNNNNNNNNNNNNNNNNNNNNNNNNNNNNNNNNNNNNNNNNNNNNNNNNNNNCGUCUAGCAUCCUCCUGCGCUAGAAUAUUGCCCCACUCUCUAAUUAAACCUGUGGUAUCGGCAAAAGGAUCAAUCUCUCGAGCAAAAUCUAUAGCACGCUUCAAGCUGUUCUUUUUCUUCCAAAAUCUCGAAUUCCUGUCCAUACCCCAACUGUGCAGUGCGGCUAUACAAGAUUUUUUACGGAGCAUUAUAUCAGACCCCAUGGAGGAGGACCAACUGUCUCGAACUAUCCCAACCAGAUCUUCAUCAUGAAGCCAAGCAUUAUCAAAACGAAACCUCCUCUCCUUCCUACAAGGUACCGCACCCUCAACCGUCGAAACUAACAAUGGGUCAUGGUCCGAUGUUGGUGAAACCAAUGUAGUCGUAGAAGCUUCCUGGAAUAAACUGGACCAAUAAUUAUUAGCCAUAGCUCGGUCAAGUUUCUCACGGGUGAUAAUUCGGCCAAAUCUUUUUAAUAACCAAGUAAAUUUAUAGCCUUUAGCAGGAAUAUCACAUAAAUCACUCUCCACUGCCGCCUCCUUAAAACCAUUCAACAAGUAUCUAGGAUAUUGGUUUCCACCAAUCUUCUCUGAAUCAGCCAAUAGAUUAUUAAAAUCCCCAACACAUAACCAAGGACCAUUAUGUCUACGGGAUAAAGUUUUAAUCAAGUCCCAAGAGUCCUGCCUUCUACAUCUUUCUGGAAACCCAUAAAAACCAGUUAGGCACCAAGAAAUACCAGAAGAAAGAACCAUAGCAUCAAUAAAAUUAUUUGAGUAACAAGAUAUGGAAACAUCAACUUCACUCUUCCAAAGCAAACCAAGACCACCACUUCUCCCAAUACAAUCCACAGAAAAGCAAGAAUCAAAACGCAACAAAGAACAAAGAUCAACAAGCUUCAUUUUAUGAACUAAAGUUUCACAAAGGAACAAAAUAACAGGGCGGUAAAUUGCAACAAAGUCCCAUAGAGCUUGUACUGUCCGAGGGUUGCCAAGUCCUCGACAGUUCCACGAGAGGAUCUUCAUUUCUUCCGGCCAUCCUGCUUCACAGGAUCAACCGAUGUAUGUUUCUCCGACUGAUUGAUGGUCGAAAUGGUACCAGAUGCAGAAUCAUUUUGAGUAGAAACUGCAGCGGUGCUAUGAGUGGUAGGAAGAAUUCGUUGUCUUUUUUUAUUCUCAUCACUGAUACAUAAAGCCACAUCUUCAACUCCGCCCUCUUCAGAAAAAUCAGCUUCCAUUGUAUCGGAGUUAUUGCCUUCGUCAAGAUUUGAAGAUGUACCAUAAAAGGAGUUACGAAAAUUUCUCACCACAGUGUUAUCUCCUUCCAAAACGGAUGUUGAAUUACUAAGUGUCCAAUCUGCUGAAAUGUCAGCGACACCAAAGGAUCGGAUCCAGGAACUCUGUCGUCUCGCUCCACGCCGCACCGGAGCACGAAUACUAUCAUCCCAGGCCAAAAUCAGUUCCUCUCUUGGUUUAGAUAACCGAAGAUCACAGAAUGACUCUGUAUGACCAAUGCGGCCACAGAGAAAGCAAAUCGUGAAAACCUUCUCAUAUUGAAAACGAACAUAAUAAACCUCUCCAGACAGAGCAAUUAAUUUCUUUUUACGUUUGAGAGGCUUCCUAAUAUCCAGUUUUACUUUGAUGCGAAGGAAUUCAAAAACAGCCUCCAUAGAUGUCUUAAAAUCACCCAACGCUCUAGCUGUACCUUCACCCACAAUUCCAUUCAGAACAUCUCUAAUUUGGACCCAAAUGUCAGCAAACAAUAAAGGGAUCUCCAACGGGUUUUCACCACUUUGGAAGGGAAAGUCCAGUCUCCUCCUCCUCAUCUACAGAAAGGUGAGCAAAAUUAUCUUCCAUGGCUGAAACGGAAACAAUUCAGGCAAGAGGAAAGAGUUAUGGUUUCGUUGGGUUGAUGGAAUAAACAAGAUCUGGAAAAGAUGGAAGAUAGUGAUGGUUUCAUGGCGACAAAGAGCAAGGCGUGCACAUAGUGGACGGUAUCCAAGGCUUGUGAGUGGAAGACAAAAAUUCAAUGUUUCAAAGGCAUGCACAUGACAGACAAGACGUGCACGUGACUCUACAACAUGAUUUUGAAAAUUUGCAGCAGCACAACAGCAGCAGCCAAGCCUUAGCCACAAAUUAGUUGGGAAUUUGCACGAAUACACAAACUUUUUUUUUUUUUUCUUAUGGCUCUAUGCUAGCUAUAGAUAAUACUAAACUGAAUUCAAGAUGUCCUUUAGUAUCCUAAAGGGUUAAAAUCAAUCUUAAAUGACAAGAAGAAAACGCCAAUUCAUUUUGUUUGGAAUGCAAAAAUAUCAUGCAGUUACCCCAACAGUAGCACAAGAUAUUUCAUAUGGCCAAACAUAUUAUCAAAUAUCAAAUAAAACUGAGAAAGGAAAAUGUUUAUCUAACCUGUCAUUUACUCCUGCAAGCAUCACAUACUCGAACAAAGCUUUGUAAUUCUUUCUGGACUGGAGUCCCUUCCGAAGGGUGUCAAGAAGCGAGCCUAAAUUGUAUUUCCGGUUAAUUUGCAUGAUCCAGUUUCUUACCUGCAUGGUUUAUUAGUUAAAGAGAAAGUCAACAACCUGGAUGUGUUUCUCAAGUGAAUAAACAUAUGGAUAUAAAUGAAAAUGCACCUCAUCAGCUGUCGCAUUCAGACUAACAGCCAAAGCACAAUUGAAUUCAUGGAGGAAACGUUUCAACUGGGGGACAAGCCCGCUUGUAGAAAUAGUGACCCUGCGAGGACUAAAAUGAAGACCCUGCUCAUGCACCAUAAUAUCGGCAGCUUUUAUGACAUUUUCAAUGUUCUGAAGUGGUUCUCACAUUCCCUGCAAAUACAUAUUUCAAAGCGAAUUAUUAGAAAUUAUUGGGCUAACUAAAAAUCUAUUUUCUCUCACUUAAACCAAGAUCUUUGAAAAAUAGGGAUUAAUACUUCAUGGAUGUAAUAACUCUCCUUCAAAUAUCUAAUAGAGCUAGACUAGAGACACUUCACCAAACAAAAAUCCAUUGCAAUAGCUGCAGCAAAAGGAAUACAGAAACAUACAAGGGUUAGAAGGGUGUAAAUGUCCAUAGGUAGUGGAUAUGCAAUCCAGGAAUAGUAUUGUUGAAUGGUUGGACAAGUAUUCCAAUCAAUGAAUAAGGAAACACAUGGACUUAAUUCCUCAAAUUAUGUGUUUUUCUAUGUGACCAGGGAAUGCAUAACGACGACAAAACGAAUGAAAUUUUUCUAUUUAUGUUCUCGAUAGAUAGUGAAAAUAACAUUGAAUUAUUAGAUGCCUUAGUACUGGACUGAGCAAAGUCACUAACUGAGCCAAAUCUGAACUGAUUGGAAAAACUUCUGUGAAUAGAAAAUUUUCUAGAUCACAGACUUACCAU
Molecule: long non-coding RNA, 15614 nt
Filed under: Jatropha curcas
Lineage: Eukaryota; Viridiplantae; Streptophyta; Magnoliopsida; Malpighiales; Euphorbiaceae
Description: long non-coding RNA (JCUR_LNC002708)
Source: RNAcentral